This 336-nucleotide RNase P RNA is filed under the name human oral metagenome. RNAcentral's name for it is "Bacterial RNase P class A". It matches the Rfam family "Bacterial RNase P class A". From Rfam's summary of the family: Ribonuclease P (RNase P) is a ubiquitous endoribonuclease, found in archaea, bacteria and eukarya as well as chloroplasts and mitochondria. Its best characterised activity is the generation of mature 5'-ends of tRNAs by cleaving the 5'-leader elements of precursor-tRNAs. Cellular RNase Ps are ribonucleoproteins. The record is from RNAcentral.
CUAUUAGGCGAUCGCUUGUUUAGGAUACUAAAUAAGAGGAAAGUCCGGGCAACAUAGAGUACAACAGUCGCUAACGGCGACCGAGAGUGAAAUCUUAGGGAAAGUGCCACAGAAACGAUACCGCCUUAUAGGUAAGGGUGAAAGGAGUGAGGUAAGAGCUCACAGCUGGCUAUGGUGACAUAGCUAGGAGGUAAACCCUGUUGGUUGCAAGGAGGCCUAGUUACUCUUUUUAAAGAGGGAUUACUCGUCCAUAGACUAAAAACUGCUUGAUUGGGUAGGCAACUGCUCAACUAGAUAGAUGAUCGUCCACGACAGAACCCGGCUUAUCGAUAGGCU